GCAGUAGCCGCGGUAAUACGAAGGGGGCUAGCGUUGCUCGGAAUUACUGGGCGUAAAGGGAGCGUAGGCGGACAUUUAAGUCAGGGGUGAAAUCCCAGAGCUCAACUCUGGAACUGCCUUUGAUACUGGGUGUCUUGAGUGUGAUAGAGGUAUGUGGAACUCCGAGUGUAGAGGUGAAAUUCGUAGAUAUUCGGAAGAACACCAGUGGCGAAGGCGACAUACUGGAUCAUUACUGACGCUGAGGCUCGAAAGCGUGGGGAGCAAACAGGAUUAGAUACCCCGGUAGUCCCUGUCUCUUAUAC
Molecule: ribosomal RNA, 302 nt
Filed under: uncultured bacterium
Lineage: Bacteria
Description: partial 16S ribosomal RNA
Rfam family: Bacterial small subunit ribosomal RNA
Source: RNAcentral